AACUUUCGACAACGGAUCUCUUGGUUCUCGCAUCGAUGAAGAACGCAGCGAAAUGCGAUACGUAAUGUGAAUUGCAGAAUUCCGUGAAUCAUCGAAUCUUUGAACGCACAUUGCGCCCCUUGGCAUUCCAGGGGGCAUGCCUGUUUGAGCGUCAUUUCCUUCUCAAACACUUGUGUUUGGUAGUGAGUGAUACUCUGUAACAUGGGAGUUAGCUUGAAAUUGAGAGCCCAUGGGCUGCUCUGCUGAGGCGGAAGUCGUGCUAGGUAACACCAACUCGACGCAACGCAUUCGGCUGGACGCAGCUCCGGCGAACAAACACAUCAACGCUUGACCUCAAAUCAGGUAGGAGUACCCGCUGAACUUAAGCAUAUCAAUAAGCGGAGGCU
Molecule: unclassified non-coding RNA, 386 nt
Filed under: uncultured Zygosaccharomyces
Lineage: Eukaryota; Fungi; Ascomycota; Saccharomycetes; Saccharomycetales; Saccharomycetaceae
Description: sequence contains ITS2
Rfam family: 5.8S ribosomal RNA (bases 1-154)
Source: RNAcentral